CAAUAGCGUAUAUUAAAGUUGUUGCAGUUAAAAAGCUCGUAGUUGAAUUUUUGCUUGCCGCCGAUGUCGGAACUUCCGUACGUUCGGCGGCGUGCAUCCUUGGGUGGAACCUGUGUGGCAUCAGGUUGUCGUGCAGGGGAUGCUCAUCGUUUACUGUGAAAAAAUUAGAGUGUUCAAAGCAGGCUUACGCCGUUGAAUAUAUUAGCAUGGAAUAAUAAGAUAGGACCUUGGUACUAUUUUGUUGGUUUGCGCACCGAGGUAAUGAUUAACAGGGACAGUUGGGGGUAUUCGUAUUCCAUUGUCAGAGGUGAAAUUCUUGGAUUUCUGGAAGACGAACUACUGCGAAAGCAUUUACCAAGGAUGUUUUCAUUAA
RNAcentral lists this ribosomal RNA (373 nucleotides) under uncultured eukaryote. RNAcentral describes it as "partial 18S ribosomal RNA". It matches the Rfam family "Eukaryotic small subunit ribosomal RNA", at positions 592 to 976 of the family's 1831-position model. The record is from RNAcentral.